Molecule: ribosomal RNA, 467 nt
Filed under: uncultured bacterium
Lineage: Bacteria
Description: partial 16S ribosomal RNA
Rfam family: Bacterial small subunit ribosomal RNA
Source: RNAcentral
GACGAACGCUGGCGGCGUGCUUAACACAUGCAAGUCGAACGGAAAGGCCCUGCUUUUGUGGGGUGCUCGAGUGGCGAACGGGUGAGUAACACGUGAGUAACCUGCCCUUGACUUUGGGAUAACUUCAGGAAACUGGGGCUAAUACCGGAUAGGAGCUCCUGCUGCAUGGUGGGGGUUGGAAAGUUUCGGCGGUUGGGGAUGGACUCGCGGCUUAUCAGCUUGUUGGUGGGGUAGUGGCUUACCAAGGCUUUGACGGGCAGCCGGCCUGAGAGGGUGACCGGCCACAUUGGGACUGAGAUACGGCCCAGACUCCUACGGGAGGCAGCAGUGGGGAAUAUUGCACAAUGGGCGGAAGCCUGAUGCAGCAACGCCGCGUGCGGGAUGACGGCCUUCGGGUUGUAAACCGCUUUCGCCUGUGACGAAGCGUGAGUGACGGUAAUGGGUAAAGAGGCACCGGCUAACUACGU